Molecule: ribosomal RNA, 644 nt
Filed under: uncultured Actinomycetes bacterium
Lineage: Bacteria; Bacillati; Actinomycetota; Actinomycetes
Description: bacterial SSU rRNA
Rfam family: Bacterial small subunit ribosomal RNA
Source: RNAcentral
CGCGGCCUAUCAGCUUGUUGGUGAGGUAACGGCUCACCAAGGCGACGACGGGUAGCCGGCCUGAGAGGGCGACCGGCCACACUGGGACUGAGACACGGCCCAGACUCCUACGGGAGGCAGCAGUGGGGAAUAUUGCACAAUGGGCGAAAGCCUGAUGCAGCGACGCCGCGUGAGGGAUGAAGGCCUUCGGGUUGUAAACCUCUUUCAGCAGGGAAGAAGCGAAAGUGACGGUACCUGCAGAAGAAGCACCGGCUAACUACGUGCCAGCAGCCGCGGUAAUACGUAGGGUGCGAGCGUUGUCCGGAAUUAUUGGGCGUAAAGAGCUUGUAGGCGGUUUGUCGCGUCUGCAGUGAAAAUCCGGGGCUCAACCCCGGACUUGCUGUGGGUACGGGCAGACUAGAGUAUGGUAGGGGAGACCGGAAUUCCUGGUGUAGCGGUGGAAUGCGCAGAUAUCAGGAGGAACACCGAUGGCGAAGGCAGGUCUCUGGGCCAUAACUGACGCUGAGAAGCGAAAGCAUGGGGAGCGAACAGGAUUAGAUACCCUGGUAGUCCAUGCCGUAAACGUUGGGCGCUAGGUGUGGGACUCGUUCCACGAGUUCCGUGCCGCAGCUAACGCAUUAAGCGCCCCGCCUGGGGAGUACGGA